UAGUAAAGCCACUGUCUUUACUAAGUUCAGGGUCCUUGUCACGUUCACUGAGGCUGUAACAUAAUUGUUAGAAAGAACAGGAGUGGGAGGGGAGAUGGAGUCGGAGAGUCAGGCAGAGGUUAGAUCACCUACAGGCCAAGGUGGAGGAAGAAACAGGCGACACAGGACUCAAGGACAACACCUGCUCCCAGGCAAAAGGAGUUUGCUGUGGGUGCCCCUCCCUGUCUGUGUGUCCAGUGUGUGGAUAUUCUUUAUACUUUGCCCAUACUGUACAAAUGCUUUUUUUCUAUUCAAUAUUUAGAAGACAUUGCAUUAAAUAGCAAGAUGGCAGAUGAACAUCAGGAAAGAACAUUAGGAACAUCCACAGUGUUCCAUCCAGGAACCUUCACCAUGGAAACCCUUGUGCUCAUGGGCCUGGUCUCAAGACACAUUCAGCUGUUGGGGAUCAGAGGCCGCACUCAUCGUAGCAGAGAGGCAGGACCAACUGGGAGAGGGUCAUUCUGUGACACCUACUGCAUCACCGGGCUGUGUGAAGUGACUCAGCUGCCAGAACUCACACAAUAUCAUUCUACACCAAAACCUCACGGGAAAAAUGACUAAAGUUUCAAUAUGGCACCUUAAUUCCUUAACGAAGAGAAAGAAUGUAUAUCUUGUGGUAAUGGGGACCAGCAGCUCCAUGAAUCAAAGCUUUCUGUGGCUCGAUCUAGUUCAGAGUCUGAGUGAUACAUUUAAUGUGCCAGCGAAAGCCUCUGGUAAACAGGGAGCAGUGUUACAGCCAGCAGAGCCCAAGAGCUUGCCAGAGCUGAUGGAGAUUGAAGGGAGCAGGUUGGAGCUCCUCCUGAGGCAGAAUGAGAGGAAGGCUCUCCCCAUCUCCUGAGUGUCAGGCUGGACUCAAAGGGGAGAGAAAAUAUUUUAAAUAAAACUGUCGUUGCAAUAAAAUGUGACAAUUCUCUUCCCUCUCCUUUUUUUCUUUUCUUUUCUUUUUCCUUUUUUUUUUUUUUUUUUUUUGGACACAGGUUCUUGUUAUGUCACCCACCCAGGCUGGAUUACAGGGGCAUGAUCUUGACUCACUGCAGCCUCAAUCUUCCAGGCUCAAGUAAUCCUCCUGCCUC
RNAcentral lists this long non-coding RNA (1112 nucleotides) under Pan troglodytes (chimpanzee). Its description in RNAcentral is "lncRNA (ENSPTRG00000053174.1)". Lineage: Eukaryota; Metazoa; Chordata; Mammalia; Primates; Hominidae. The record is from RNAcentral.